GCCUUCGUGGUGCAAUGGUCAGCACAUUCGGCGCGUAUUCGAAAGAUCCGAGGUUCGAGUCCCGGCUAGGGCA
RNAcentral lists this transfer RNA (73 nucleotides) under Stegodyphus mimosarum. It matches the Rfam family "tRNA". Rfam says of the family: Transfer RNA (tRNA) molecules are approximately 80 nucleotides in length. Their secondary structure includes four short double-helical elements and three loops (D, anti-codon, and T loops). The record is from Rfam by way of RNAcentral. Lineage: Eukaryota; Metazoa; Arthropoda; Arachnida; Araneae; Eresidae.